This 254-nucleotide ribosomal RNA is filed under the name uncultured bacterium. RNAcentral describes it as "partial 16S ribosomal RNA". It matches the Rfam family "Bacterial small subunit ribosomal RNA", at positions 1247 to 1500 of the family's 1533-position model. The record is from RNAcentral.
CAGCGAAGUCGUGAGACGGAGCCAAUCCCAGAAAACCGAUCGUAGUCCGGAUUGCAGUCUGCAACUCGACUGCAUGAAGUCGGAAUCGCUAGUAAUCGCGGAUCAGCAUGCCGCGGUGAAUACGUUCCCGGGUCUUGUACACACCGCCCGUCAAACAAUGGGAGUGGUGUUUACCAGAAGUCGUUAGCCUAACCGCAAGGAGGGCGGCGACCACGGUGAGCACCGUGACUAAUGUUAAGUCGUAACAAGGUACC